UACGUAGGCAGCAAGCGUUGUUCGGAAUUACUGGGCGUAAAGAGUGUGUAGGCGGUGCUCUCAGUUCGGUGUGAAAUCUCCCGGCUUAACUGGGAGGGUGCGCCGGAAACUGGAGUGCUUGAGCGCGGGAGAGGAAAGCGGAAUUCCUGGUGUAGCGGUGAAAUGCGUAGAUAUCAGGAGGAACACCUGUGGUGUAGACGGCUUUCUGGACCGUAGCUGACGCUGAGACACGAAAGCGUGGGGAGCAAACAGG
RNAcentral lists this ribosomal RNA (253 nucleotides) under uncultured bacterium. RNAcentral's name for it is "partial 16S ribosomal RNA". It matches the Rfam family "Bacterial small subunit ribosomal RNA", at positions 524 to 776 of the family's 1533-position model. The record is from RNAcentral.